This 496-nucleotide ribosomal RNA is filed under the name uncultured bacterium. RNAcentral describes it as "partial 16S ribosomal RNA". It matches the Rfam family "Bacterial small subunit ribosomal RNA", at positions 28 to 507 of the family's 1533-position model. The record is from RNAcentral.
GAUGAACGCUGGCGGCGUGCCUAAUACAUGCAAGUCGAGCGAACGGACGAGAAGCUUGCUUUUCUGAUGUUAGCGGCGGACGGGUGAGUAACACGUGGAUAACCUACCUAUAAGACUGGGAUAACUUCGGGAAACCGGAGCUAAUACCGGAUAAUAUUUUGAACCGCAUGGUUCAAAGUUAAAAAAGGGCUUGCUGUCACUUAUAGAUUGAUCCGCGCUGCAUUAGCUAGUUGGUAAGGUAACGGCUUACCAAGGCAACGAUGCAUAGCCGACCUGAGAGGGUGAUCGGCCACACUGGAACUGAGACACGGUCCAGACUCCUACGGGAGGCAGCAGUAGGGAAUCUUCCGCAAUGGGCGAAAGCCUGACGGAGCAACGCCGCGUGAGUGAUGAAGGUCUUCGGAUCGUAAAACUCUGUUAUUAGGGAAGAACAUAUGUGUAAGUAACUGUGCACAUCUUGACGGUACCUAAUCAGAAAGCCACGGCUAACUACGUG